Molecule: non-coding RNA, 73 nt
Organism: Myotis brandtii (Brandt's bat)
Lineage: Eukaryota; Metazoa; Chordata; Mammalia; Chiroptera; Vespertilionidae
Source: Rfam
GCCCGUUUGGCUCAGUGGAUAGAGUGUCGGCUUGCCGACCAAAGGAUCCCGGGUUUGAUUCCCGUCAAGGGCA